This 331-nucleotide unclassified non-coding RNA is filed under the name uncultured fungus. RNAcentral's name for it is "partial contains 5.8S ribosomal RNA, internal transcribed spacer 2, and large subunit ribosomal RNA". The stretch from base 1 to 52 matches the Rfam family "5.8S ribosomal RNA", at positions 103 to 154 of the family's 154-position model. Lineage: Eukaryota; Fungi. The record is from RNAcentral.
AACGCACCUUGCGCUCCUUGGUAUUCCGAGGAGCAUGCCUGUUUGAGUGUCAUAAAACUCUCAACUCCUAAUAGUUUUUUCGGAAACUGCUAGUUGAUGUUGGAUGUGAAUGUUGCUGGCUUUCGAGUCGGCUCGUUCGAAAUGAAUUAGCUGGAUCCCUCUUUAACUUGGUUCCACUCGGCGUGAUAAGUAUCUUCGUCGAGGACAGUUGACUUCGGUUGGCUGGCCAGGAUAGAUUGGUUGAACUGCUUCUAAUCCUUCUCUUUGUUAAUUCAAUUAGAAACUUUUAUGCUCUGGCCUCAAAUCAGGUAGGAUUACCCGCUGAACUUAA